CUCUGCCAAGGCCACUCUUUCCUCAGAAUGAACCACCUUCCACUUCUCUUCUUUUGCAGAGGAUAGCAGCAAGCUAAUGUGCCAAUUAGCUCAACAGGAAUAACACAGAUAAGACUUGCAGAGCAUCCUAGAAGAGCAAGGGAGAAGCCAGUGCGGAGAAAAGACACAGUGUGAUCGUGAUGAUGAUACAGUGGUGUGUCAUACUUCAAGCAGGAGGAGGAAAGAAAAGCCGUGUUACCCAUGGCCAGUAGAGACCUGACUGAAUUUGAGAGAAAGCAGCUAUGAAGUAAAAGGAUUAAUUUCUAAAUUCUAUUCAACUAUGUUAGGACAAGAGUUAAAACCUUUGACCAGAUUAAAAUCAGUUUGGGAGAUGGACUUACCAAAGGUCUUUAAUGAAGGAGAGUGGGGAAAAUCUGGUCUGUUCUGCUCCUGUGUUUUCUACUGCACGUUAACAGCGGCCACGAGUGACACACUCCAGACACAAAGGCAUUCUUAGCAGCACUUGUGACAAUGCCUUGGAGGCAGGGUGCAGCUGAGACUGGUUAAGAAAGAGCCAGCACAGUCUUUGGCAGAAGAAAUUGGCUGCAGUAUUGAAUGAAAAUGCAUAGCAUGGCUUGAUCUGUAAGGUUUAAAGAUGUGGUAGGCAAGUGCUGAGUAAUAGCAGAGCACAAGAAACAAAACAAUAACGACAAGGUGGGAGAGAAGGGAUGAACCAAGGGCACAAUGAUUUGGAAUAGGGCCACAUUUGCAGCUAGUUAUAUACAUACACCUACAUACACCUUUGAUUCAUUGCACAGAUUUUUCCUGAGAAAUGUCUGCAAGGACACAUUUUUGAAAUGCCUCACUCGCGAUGGCUAGAAGCCAAAAGCGAUUUGGGAGUGAGUGGUCUGGCCAUGCAAUUCGUUUCAGACAAUACCUGCUGAAUGGGACUUUUGACAGUGGAACUGGAAAGAGCCUGUGAAAAUGAUGAUUCAUUUGUAGAAAAUGCCAGUGUACCACUUCGUGGCAGUGUUUCUGAACCAUGUAACACCAGCUUCUUAAAGAGAUUGUGCAAUGUAAUGCUGUACAUUGAUGAGGAUUAUCCUCUACAAUGAAGUUAGCUUAAUGAAGCAGGUCUGCUCAGUCAGAUUAGAACAAAUACAAUGACCGCCUCCACCCCUAAGGGAGCU
This is a long non-coding RNA of Hemicordylus capensis (graceful crag lizard), 1169 nucleotides long. RefSeq lists it as uncharacterized. The record is from RefSeq and is a predicted model, not a curated record. Lineage: Eukaryota; Metazoa; Chordata; Lepidosauria; Squamata; Cordylidae. The transcript is spliced from 4 exons.